CACGUAGGCACCAAGCGUUGUCCGGAUUUAUUGGGCGUAAAGAGCGUGUAGGCGGUUCGGUAAGUCUGUCGUGAAAUCCUGAGGCUCAACCUCGGGCGUGCGAUGGAUACUGCCGGGCUAGAGGGUGGUAGAGGCGAGUGGAAUUCCCGGUGUAGCGGUGAAAUGCGCAGAUAUCGGGAGGAACACCAGUAGCGAAGGCGGCUCGCUGGGCCACACCUGACGCUGAGACGCGAAAGCUAGGGGAGCGAACGGG
This 253-nucleotide ribosomal RNA is filed under the name uncultured bacterium. RNAcentral describes it as "partial 16S ribosomal RNA". It matches the Rfam family "Bacterial small subunit ribosomal RNA", at positions 524 to 776 of the family's 1533-position model. The record is from RNAcentral.